Molecule: ribosomal RNA, 117 nt
Filed under: Vairimorpha ceranae
Lineage: Eukaryota; Fungi; Microsporidia; Nosematidae
Description: Nosema ceranae partial large subunit ribosomal RNA
Source: RNAcentral
UUUGCCCACACAUGGGAUCAAUAGGAUACCAUAACGAUGAAGGUCGUAAUAGAAUACGAAAGUAUUUUAAUAUUUAUCGAAUUAAUAUUUAAUAAUAUUGAUUACCCUUUGAACUUA